Molecule: non-coding RNA, 1711 nt
Organism: Elaeis guineensis (African oil palm)
Lineage: Eukaryota; Viridiplantae; Streptophyta; Magnoliopsida; Arecales; Arecaceae
Source: RefSeq, a predicted model, not a curated record
AUUUAUUUAAAAUUUUUGAUCGCAUAGUUUUCGUUCAACAGUCCCUCUCCAGUUCGCGUUUCGUCUCUUACCUCAAGUUGGGAACGGACGGGCGCCGACUUUCCUUCCGACUUCAAAUUCUCCAACUGCCAUCAAGACCCCGUCGCCUCCACAACCCAGUCCAUGACGGUCGUCCUCGUCGCCGGCGGCGGCAAGCUCGUUCCUCCGCUAGCCCGCUGCUUUACGAGGUGAGCGGACGGGCGGGCGAGGGCCUCACAGAAACAGAGGCGACGAAGAAGGCGCUCUUCUACUCCACCCGCUCCGAUAUCACCACGUUCGGAGAAACCCUAAGCCUAGGUGAUGAGGUGACAAGGCCAAAAUUAGAAGACUGGCAUAUGGAGCUUGCUGGCUGGUUGGCAAGACAGAAAAUCACUGGUCAACCCUCAAGCCUCUACUCAUGUGACCAGCUUGGUGAUGCUGUUACCAUCUAUUAUACUUAUUAAUUAGUAAUUCCAUACUCUAGAUUAGCAGCAAGAAAAAAAUGGCAUGCUCUAGAGCAUGCCAUUAUCCUUCUUUUUAUUAGGUUUCCAUCCAUUGAUCUUUUCCAGUGGGAUGUUCUCCUUUGUGUGAUUCUCCUCAGAAUGCAAAAAGAAUACCUGAUCUGGAUGAGUUUGUUGAGGCUCUCAUCUCUUCAAAGUCAUCUGAUAAAAAAGAGGUGUUGAGGCUGUCAGUCAUGGCGAGGAUGAUUCCCUUCAUCUUUUGCUUGAGCCAGUAAGGAUUUCUGGUGCUAUUGUCAUUGCGUUCGAGCUGCUCUAGGAUGGUAGUAUAGAGUGUGGGAUUGCCGUCUCUCUCUCUCUCUGUGUCCAUCCCGCUUAAAACAGAAAGGGUGAAAUUUAGAAAUGUUGUAAUCUUCCGAUAUUACCCUUAAUUAAUUAGUUUAGCCUUGCAAGUUGUCCUCUUGUUUCUGUCACUUUUUUGGAUUUCGCUGGCAGUUCUCAUAUAUUUUUUCUCAAAAAUGUAUAUGUGCUUUUUACAUUUUCAGGAACAAAGAGUUAAGCACUUUUUUCCAAGUUUUAUAAAUAAUUUUUUUAGUAUAUAAGAUAAUGAAUAAUAUGAUAAUAUGAUCUUCUUCUUGUUGGAAGUAUUUUCCAAUGACGGAUAUCUCAGUGCAAGUUCUUUGGAUGCUGGAAAGGAACAUGUAUGAGCUUGUGCAUGUCGGUUCCACCCACAAUCCCACCUCUCCGCUACUGUUGCCAGUCAACGCCAUAGCCAUGCCAUCUUCACAAGUUAUCAAAACCGUUUCUGACAUUGAAAUGAUCAUCUACAGCACUACUGGCUUCCAGCCCUUUUGUUGAGGAUGCAUGCAAAGCAACAAGACACUAGAAAUGAACAAGGUGAUGAUGAUGAUGAUGAUGAUGAUGAUGAUGAUAGGCCCGACAAUGGUACUAGAGUGGUGAAAUUGGUCAAGCAAACUUAAUGCUGAUAAUGGAGAGACGAUAAUACAUGGUAAAGUGCUAGCAUGGCGAUAUUGUUAGUUUCAGUUUGAAUUGUGCCUUUUGCUGUGCAUGGUAAAAUUGAUUUAUUGUAACUAGGCAAAAGGGAAAAAAAAAGGUUCGAUUCCUAUAAGCACAUCUGAACUUUACAAACUAGGUCUUUUUAUUCGACUGAAAAGAGCAAGAAUGAGGUCUUUUUUGGAAGUAUUAUGAAAGCAAAAGAGAUUACAGUUCUAUUA